UACGGGGGGAGCAAGCGUUGUUCGGAUUUACUUGGCGUAACGGGCGCGUAGGCGGCCACCGCAAGUCAGUUGUGAAAGCUCUGGGCUUAACCCAGAAAGGUCAACUGAUACUGCGGGGCUAGAGUGCAGAAGGGGCAACUGGAAUUCUCGGUGUAGCGGUGAAAUGCGUAGAUAUCGAGAGGAACACCUGCGGCGAAGGCGGGUUGCUGGGCUGACACUGACGCUGAAGUGCGAAAGCUAGGGGAGCGAACGGG
This 254-nucleotide ribosomal RNA is filed under the name uncultured bacterium. Its description in RNAcentral is "partial 16S ribosomal RNA". It matches the Rfam family "Bacterial small subunit ribosomal RNA", at positions 524 to 776 of the family's 1533-position model. The record is from RNAcentral.